This 83-nucleotide ribosomal RNA is filed under the name Ochotona princeps (American pika). Lineage: Eukaryota; Metazoa; Chordata; Mammalia; Lagomorpha; Ochotonidae. The record is from RNAcentral.
UUCAGCCAUACCACCAUGAACAACGCUGAACUCGUCUGAUCUCGGAAGCUAAAGCAGGGUUGGGGCUUGGUUAGUACUUGGAU